This 245-nucleotide ribosomal RNA is filed under the name uncultured bacterium. RNAcentral's name for it is "partial small subunit ribosomal RNA". It matches the Rfam family "Bacterial small subunit ribosomal RNA", at positions 26 to 285 of the family's 1533-position model. The record is from RNAcentral.
AGAAUCAACGCUGGCGGCGUGCCUAACACAUGCAAGUCGCACGAGAAAGUGGAGCAAUCCAUGAGUAAAGUGGCGCACGGGUGAGUAACACGUGAAUUAUCUACCUUCGAGUGGGGAAUAACUGAGAGAAAUCUUAGCUAAUACCGCAUAACACUUACGAGUCAAAGCAGCAAUGCGCUUGGAGAGGAGUUCGCGGCCGAUUAGUUAGUUGGCGGGGUAAUGGCCCACCAAGACGAUGAUCGGUA